Molecule: transfer RNA, 75 nt
Filed under: Mycobacteroides immunogenum
Lineage: Bacteria; Bacillati; Actinomycetota; Actinomycetes; Mycobacteriales; Mycobacteriaceae
Description: tRNA-Gln
Rfam family: tRNA
About the family: Transfer RNA (tRNA) molecules are approximately 80 nucleotides in length.
Source: RNAcentral
UGCCUUGUGGGGUAAUCGGUAGCCCACCGGACUUUGAAUCCGGGUGUUCAGGUUCGAGUCCUGGCGAGGCAGCGA